Drosophila montana is the source of this 710-nucleotide long non-coding RNA. RefSeq lists it as uncharacterized. The transcript is spliced from 2 exons. The record is from RefSeq and is a predicted model, not a curated record. NCBI's taxonomy places the organism in Eukaryota, Metazoa, Arthropoda, Insecta, Diptera, Drosophilidae.
AAUAAAAUCAGUGCUACCACAUUUCUAAAUUUAUACGCAACUACUAUCUUACACUAGUGUGUCAAGCUAACAUAUUUAUAUAUGUUUUUGUUUUGUAUUUAGAUUGGUAAAUUUAACUUUUAGCAAUUCUCAUCGUAAGAAAUGUAACAAAAGUUGUAUGCGUAUGUGCUUUAUUGAAAUUCGACAUAACUCGAAAAUGUGGUAUUUUCGUAUAGCCGGCAAAUGGUCACACACUGUCCUUUUAAUUAUUUUCCUUUGCUCUGCUCAAAAUUAAUUUGAAUUGCAAUUGCGUCUGCGAUGCAUUUACAAAUAACUUUACUUGGUGUGAAUAACACAUGAGAAAAAAAUUUGUAACGCUCCACAAAAGUUACAAAUCGUCUCCAUUGUGAUGCCCUGGCUGACCGCUGAGGAUUACGCCAGCGUUCUGGCUGGCGGCCUGGAUCUCCAGGAUCAGCAGGUCAACCAUAGCAGGAACGGCCUUGUGCUUAGCGAACACUUGGAGCUGGCCGAGCCUGGUCUGAGCCAAUAAUCCAAGCAUCAUAGAGACACGCUCGUGCUUCGUUCGCAGCCUACAUCAGUUUUAGGAGCUGAAGGAUAAAAAACUUAGACAGCGUUUAUUGUUUUCAAUAAAAUUUGUAAACACUAUAAGAAGGCACUUAACCUAUUGAUAUCAUAAUAACUAUGCAUAUAUAUAUAUAAAGCUAAGUGUG